UCUAGAGUNUCGGAGAGGAAAGUGGAAUUCCUAGUGUAGCGGUGAAAUGCGUAGAUAUUAGGAAGAACACCAGUGGCGAAGGCGACUUUCUGGACGAAAACUGACGCUGAGGCGCGAAAGCCAGGGGAGCGAACGGGAUUAGAUACCCCGGUAGUCCUGGCCGUAAACGAUGGGUACUAGGUGUAGGAGGUAUCGACCCCUUCUGUGCCGGAGUUAACGCAAUAAGUACCCCGCCUGGGGAGUACGACCGCAAGGUUGAAACUCAAAGGAAUUGACGGGGGCCCGCACAAGCGGUGGAGUAUGUGGUUUAAUUCGACGCAACGCGAAGAACCUUACCAGGUCUUGACAUUGAUGGACAGAACCAGAGAUGGUUCCUCUUCUUCGGAAGCCAGAAAACAGGUGGUGCACGGCUGUCGUCAGCUCGUGUCGUGAGAUGUUGGGUUAAGUCCCGCAGCGAGCGCAACCCCUAUCUUAUGUUGCCAGCACUUUGGGUGGGGACUCAUGAGAGACUGCCGCAGACAAUGCGGAGGAAGGCGGGGAUGACGUCAAAUCAUCAUGCCCCUUAUGACCUGGGCUACACACGUACUACAAUGGGAGUUAAUAGACGGAAGCGAGAUCGCGAGAUGGAGCAAACCCGAGAAACACUCUCUCAGUUCGGAUCGUAGGCUGCAACUCGCCUACGUGAAGUCGGAAUCGCUAGUAAUCGCAGGUCGGCAUACUGCGGUGAAUACGUUCCCGGGCCUUGUACACACCGCCCGUCACACCACGAAAGUCG
Molecule: ribosomal RNA, 775 nt
Filed under: uncultured bacterium
Lineage: Bacteria
Description: bacterial SSU rRNA
Rfam family: Bacterial small subunit ribosomal RNA
Source: RNAcentral